RNAcentral lists this Y RNA (107 nucleotides) under Prolemur simus (greater bamboo lemur). RNAcentral describes it as "Y RNA (ENSPSMG00000017973.1)". It matches the Rfam family "Y RNA". From Rfam's summary of the family: Y RNAs are components of the Ro ribonucleoprotein particle (Ro RNP), in association with Ro60 and La proteins. The Y RNAs and Ro60 and La proteins are well conserved, but the function of the Ro RNP is not known. In humans the RNA component can be one of four small RNAs -- hY1, hY3, hY4 and hY5. The record is from Rfam by way of RNAcentral. Lineage: Eukaryota; Metazoa; Chordata; Mammalia; Primates; Lemuridae.
GACUGGUCCACAGGCAGUGAGUUAUCUCAAUUAAUUUCACAGUUACAGAUCGAACUCCUUAUUCUACUCUUGCCUUCCUUCUCACUAUUGCACUUGACUAGUAUUAA